This 427-nucleotide ribosomal RNA is filed under the name uncultured bacterium. RNAcentral's name for it is "bacterial SSU rRNA". It matches the Rfam family "Bacterial small subunit ribosomal RNA", at positions 355 to 774 of the family's 1533-position model. The record is from RNAcentral.
UGGGGAAUUUUGGACAAUGGGCGCAAGCCUGAUCCAGCCAUGCCGCGUGCAGGAUGAAGGCCCUCGGGUUGUAAACUGCUUUUGUACGGAACGAAAAGCCUCUUUCUAAUAAAGAGGGGUGAUGACGGUACCGUAGGAAUAAGGAUCGGCUAACUCCGUGCCAGCAGCCGCGGUAAUACGGAGGAUCCGAGCGUUAUCCGGAUUUACUGGGUUUAAAGGGUGCGUAGGCGGCCCUGCAAGUCAGCGGUGAAAUGUGGCGGCUCAACCGGUUCGCUGCCGCUGAUACUGUAGGGCUUGGAUGCGGUCGAGGCGGGUGGAAUUCGUGGUAUAGCGGUGAAAUGCAUAGAUAUCACGAGGAACGCCUAUAGCGAAGGCAGCUCGCCGGGCCGCGAUCGACGCUGAGGCACGAAAGCGUGGGGAUCAAACA